This 253-nucleotide ribosomal RNA is filed under the name uncultured bacterium. RNAcentral describes it as "partial 16S ribosomal RNA". It matches the Rfam family "Bacterial small subunit ribosomal RNA", at positions 524 to 776 of the family's 1533-position model. The record is from RNAcentral.
UACAGAGGGUGCAAGCGUUAAUCGGACUUACUGGGCGUAAAGGGCGCGUAGGCGGAUGAAUUAGUUAGAUGUGAAAGACCUGGGCUUAACCGAGGAGCUGCAUUUAAUACUGUUCAUCUAGAGUGCGGUAGAGGGAAGUGGAAUUUCUAGUGUAGCGGUGAAAUGCGUAGAUAUUAGAAAGAACAUCAGUGGCGAAGGCGACUUCCUGGACUGACACUGACGCUGAGGCGCGAAAGCAUGGGUAGCGAACAGG